AUGAACGCUAGCUACAGGCUUAACACAUGCAAGUCGAGGGGCAGCAUGGUCUUAGCUUGCUAAGGCCGAUGGCGACCGGCGCACGGGUGAGUAACACGUAUCCAACCUGCCGUCUACUCUUGGACAGCCUUCUGAAAGGAAGAUUAAUACAAGAUGGCAUCAUGAGUCCGCAUGUUCACAUGAUUAAAGGUAUUCCGGUAGACGAUGGGGAUGCGUUCCAUUAGAUAGUAGGCGGGGUAACGGCCCACCUAGUCUUCGAUGGAUAGGGGUUCUGAGAGGAAGGUCCCCCACAUUGGAACUGAGACACGGUCCAAACUCCUACGGGAGGCAGCAGUGAGGAAUAUUGGUCAAUGGGCGAGAGCCUGAACCAGCCAAGUAGCGUGAAGGAUGACUGCCCUAUGGGUUGUAAACUUCUUUUAUAAAGGAAUAAAGUCGGGUAUGCAUACCCGUUUGCAUGUACUUUAUGAAUAAGGAUCGGCUAACUCCGUGCCAGCAGCCGCGGUAAUACGGAGGAUCCGAGCGUUAUCCGGAUUUAUUGGGUUUAAAGGGAGCGUAGAUGGAUGUUUAAGUCAGUUGUGAAAGUUUGCGGCUCAACCGUAAAAUUGCAGUUGAUACUGGAUAUCUUGAGUGCAGUUGAGGCAGGCGGAAUUCGUGGUGUAGCGGUGAAAUGCUUAGAUAUCACGAAGAACUCCGAUUGCGAAGGCAGCCUGCUAAGCUGCAACUGACAUUGAGGCUCGAAAGUGUGGGUAUCAAACAGGAUUAGAUACCCUGGUAGUCCACACGGUAAACGAUGAAUACUCGCUGUUUGCGAUAUACAGCAAGCGGCCAAGCGAAAGCGUUAAGUAUUCCACCUGGGGAGUACGCCGGCAACGGUGAAACUCAAAGGAAUUGACGGGGGCCCGCACAAGCGGAGGAACAUGUGGUUUAAUUCGAUGAUACGCGAGGAACCUUACCCGGGCUUAAAUUGCAGAUGAAUUACGGUGAAAGCCGUAAGCCGCAAGGCAUCUGUGAAGGUGCUGCAUGGUUGUCGUCAGCUCGUGCCGUGAGGUGUCGGCUUAAGUGCCAUAACGAGCGCAACCCUUGUUGUCAGUUACUAACAGGUUCCGCUGAGGACUCUGACAAGACUGCCAUCGUAAGAUGUGAGGAAGGUGGGGAUGACGUCAAAUCAGCACGGCCCUUACGUCCGGGGCUACACACGUGUUACAAUGGGGGGUACAGAGGGCCGCUACCACGCGAGUGGAUGCCAAUCCCAAAAACCUCUCUCAGUUCGGACUGGAGUCUGCAACCCGACUCCACGAAGCUGGAUUCGCUAGUAAUCGCGCAUCAGCCACGGCGCGGUGAAUACGUUCCCGGGCCUUGUACACACCGCCCGUCAAGCCAUGGGAGCCGGGGGUACCUGAAGUGCGUAACCGCGAGGAGCGCCCUAGGGUAAAACUGGU
RNAcentral lists this ribosomal RNA (1439 nucleotides) under uncultured organism. RNAcentral's name for it is "16S ribosomal RNA". It matches the Rfam family "Bacterial small subunit ribosomal RNA". The record is from RNAcentral.